GUCCCCUUCGGGGGACGAGUAGAGUGGCGUCCGGGUGAGUAACACGUGAGUAAUUUGCCUUCGGGUGGGGAAUAACAGCCGGAAACGGCUGCUAAUACCGCAUGAUGCAGCGGCACCUCAUGGUGACAGUUGUUAAAGCGGGGGAUCGCAAGACCUCGCGCCUGAAGAGAAGCUCGCGGCAGAUUAGCUAGUUGGUAGGGUAACGGCCUACCAAGGCUACGAUCUGUAGCCGGCCUGAGAGGGCGGUCGGCCACACUGACACUGACACACGGGUCAGACUCCUACGGGAGGCAGCAGUCGGGAAUUUUGGGCAAUGGGCGAAAGCCUGACCCAGCAACGCCGCGUGAAGGAUGAAGUUUUUCGGAAUGUAAACUUCACAAGAAUGGGAAGAAUAAGUGGGGGCUAAUACCCCCCAUGAUGACGGUACCAUUUGUAAGCUCCGGCUAACUCCGUGCCAGCAGCCGCGGUAAUACGGGGGGAGCAAGCGUUGUUCGGAUUUACUGGGCGUAAAGGGCGCGUAGGCGGCGCAACAAGUCAGUUGUGAAAUCUCUGGGCUUAACCCAGAGCGGUCAACUGAUACUGUCGUGCUAGAGUGCGGAAGGGGCAGCUGGAAUUCUCGGUGUAGCGGUGAAAUGCGUAGAUAUCGAGAGGAACACCUGCGGCGAAGGCGGGUUGCUGGGCCGACACUGACGCUGAGGCGCGAAAGCUAGGGGAGCGAACGGGAUUGGAUACCCCGGUAGUCCUAGCCUUAAACGAUGGAUGC
This 763-nucleotide ribosomal RNA is filed under the name uncultured bacterium. RNAcentral describes it as "bacterial SSU rRNA". It matches the Rfam family "Bacterial small subunit ribosomal RNA", at positions 73 to 816 of the family's 1533-position model. The record is from RNAcentral.